CUACGGGAGGCAGCAGUAGGGAAUCUUCCACAAUGGGCGAAAGCCUGAUGGAGCAACGCCGCGUGGGUGAAGAAGGUCUUCGGAUCGUAAAACCCUGUUGUUAGAGAAGAAAGUGCGUGAGAGUAACUGUUCACAUUUCGACGGUAUCUAACCAGAAAGCCACGGCUAACUACGUGCCAGCAGCCGCGGUAAUACGUAGGUGGCAAGCGUUAUCCGGAUUUAUUGGGCGUAAAGGGAACGCAGGCGGUCUUUUAAGUCUGAUGUGAAAGCCUUCGGCUUAACCUGAGUAGUGCAUUGGAAACUGG
This 305-nucleotide ribosomal RNA is filed under the name uncultured bacterium. RNAcentral describes it as "bacterial SSU rRNA". It matches the Rfam family "Bacterial small subunit ribosomal RNA", at positions 339 to 636 of the family's 1533-position model. The record is from RNAcentral.